GCAACCAUAAUCUAGCUGGUUAGGAUUCAAGCCUUCCAAGCUUGCUACUCGGGUUCGAAUCCCGAUGGUUGCACCA
RNAcentral lists this transfer RNA (76 nucleotides) under Candidatus Methanomethylophilus alvi Mx1201. RNAcentral describes it as "tRNA-Gly (TCC) (tRNA-Gly-TCC-1-1)". It matches the Rfam family "tRNA". Rfam says of the family: Transfer RNA (tRNA) molecules are approximately 80 nucleotides in length. Their secondary structure includes four short double-helical elements and three loops (D, anti-codon, and T loops). Further hydrogen bonds mediate the characteristic L-shaped molecular structure. tRNAs have two regions of fundamental functional importance: the anti-codon, which is responsible for specific mRNA codon recognition, and the 3' end, to which the tRNAs corresponding amino acid is attached (by aminoacyl-tRNA synthetases). tRNAs cope with the degeneracy of the genetic code in two manners: having more than one tRNA (with a specific anti-codon) for a particular amino acid; and 'wobble' base-pairing, i.e. permitting non-standard base-pairing at the 3rd anti-codon position. Lineage: Archaea; Methanobacteriati; Thermoplasmatota; Thermoplasmata; Methanomassiliicoccales; Methanomethylophilaceae. RNAcentral also lists the same sequence under 2 other names. The record is from RNAcentral.